Molecule: ribosomal RNA, 404 nt
Filed under: Verrucomicrobiota bacterium
Lineage: Bacteria; Pseudomonadati; Verrucomicrobiota
Description: Verrucomicrobia bacterium partial 16S ribosomal RNA
Rfam family: Bacterial small subunit ribosomal RNA
Source: RNAcentral
UGGGGAAUAUUGCACAAUGGGGGAAACCCUGAUGCAGCGACGCCGCGUGAGCGAAGAAGGCCUUCGGGUCGUAAAGCUCUUUUAUGAGGGAAGAUAAUGACGGUACCUCAAGAAAAAGCCCCGGCUAACUACGUGCCAGCAGCCGCGGUAAUACGUAGGGGGCUAGCGUUGUCCGGAAUCACUGGGCGUAAAGGGUUCGCAGGCGGAAUAACAAGUCAGAUGUGAAAGGCAUGGGCUCAACCCACGUAAGCAUUUGAAACUGUAAUUCUUGAGAAGUGGAGAGGUAAGUGGAAUUCCUAGUGUAGCGGUGAAAUGCGUAGAUAUUAGGAGGAAUACCUGUGGCGAAGGCGACUUACUGGACACAAAUCUGACGCUGAGGAACGAAAGCGUGGGUAGCAAACAGG